This 504-nucleotide ribosomal RNA is filed under the name uncultured bacterium. RNAcentral describes it as "partial 16S ribosomal RNA". It matches the Rfam family "Bacterial small subunit ribosomal RNA", at positions 29 to 523 of the family's 1533-position model. The record is from RNAcentral.
AUUGAACGCUGGCGGCAGGCCUAACACAUGCAAGUCGAGCGGUAGCACAGAGAGCUUGCUCUCGGGUGACGAGCGGCGGACGGGUGAGUAAUGUCUGGGAAACUGCCUGGUGGAGGGGGAUAACUACUGGAAACGGUAGCUAAUACCGCAUAAUGUCGCAAGACCAAAGUGGGGGACCUUCGGGCCUCAUGCCAUCCGAUGUGCCCAGAUGGGAUUAGCUAGUAGGUGGGGUAACGGCUCACCUAGGCGACGAUCCCUAGCUGGUCUGAGAGGAUGACCAGCCACACUGGAACUGAGACACGGUCCAGACUCCUACGGGAGGCAGCAGUGGGGAAUAUUGCACAAUGGGCGCAAGCCUGAUGCAGCCAUGCCGCGUGUGUGAAGAAGGCCUUCGGGUUGUAAAGCACUUUCAGCGGGGAGGAAGGCGGUGAGGUUAAUAACCUCAUCGAUUGACGUUACCCGCAGAAGAAGCACCGGCUAACUCCGUGCCAGCCGCCGCGGUAA